GAUGAACGCUGGCGGCGUGCCUAAUACAUGCAAGUCGAACGGACAGACGAUGAGCUUGUGCUGUUGACGUUAGCGGCAGGCGGGUGUGUCACGCGUGGAUCACCUACUUAUCUGUCUGGGAUCAUCACGGAACACCGGCGAUAAUACCAUAUGAUAUAUUGAACCGCGUGGAUCAUUAGUGAGUGUCGGUUUUCGUGUAUCGACUAGCUGGUUCGGCGCCGCAUUAGCUAGUUGGUAAGGUAACGGCUUACCAAGGCUACGAGGCGUAGCCGAACUGAGAGGGUGAUCGGCCACACGGGAACUUAGACACGGUCCAGACUCCUACGGGAGGCAGCAGUAGGGAAUAUUCGGCAAUGGGCGAAAGCCUGACGGAGCAACACCGAGUGAGUGAUGAAGGCCUUCGGAUCGGAAAACCCUGUUAUUGGGGAAGAACAGCUGUGUAAGAAACUAUGGACGUCUUGACGGUACCGAAUCAAAAAGCAACGGCUAACUACGUG
This 497-nucleotide ribosomal RNA is filed under the name uncultured bacterium. RNAcentral describes it as "partial 16S ribosomal RNA". It matches the Rfam family "Bacterial small subunit ribosomal RNA", at positions 28 to 507 of the family's 1533-position model. The record is from RNAcentral.